RNAcentral lists this ribosomal RNA (322 nucleotides) under uncultured Oscillospiraceae bacterium. RNAcentral describes it as "bacterial SSU rRNA". It matches the Rfam family "Bacterial small subunit ribosomal RNA", at positions 355 to 691 of the family's 1533-position model. Lineage: Bacteria; Bacillati; Bacillota; Clostridia; Eubacteriales; Oscillospiraceae. The record is from RNAcentral.
UGGGGAAUAUUGGGCAAUGGGGGAAACCCUGACCCAGCAACGCCGCGUGAAGGAAGAAGGCUUUCGGGUUGUAAACUUCUUUUACCAGGGACGAAGGACGUGACGGUACCUGGAGAAAAAGCCACGGCUAACUACGUGCCAGCAGCCGCGGUAAUACGUAGGUGGCAAGCGUUGUCCGGAUUUACUGGGUGUAAAGGGCGUGUAGGCGGAGAAGCAAGUCAGAAGUGAAAUCCAUGGGCUUAACCCAUGAACUGCUUUUGAAACUGUUUCCCUUGAGUAUCGGAGAGGCAGGCGGAAUUCCUAGUGUAGCGGUGAAAUGCGU